Molecule: ribosomal RNA, 520 nt
Filed under: uncultured bacterium
Lineage: Bacteria
Description: bacterial SSU rRNA
Rfam family: Bacterial small subunit ribosomal RNA
Source: RNAcentral
UGGGGAAUAUUGCACAAUGGGGGGAGCCGUGAUGCAGAUACGCCGCGUGAGCGAAGAAGCAAUUAGAAUUGUAAAGCUCGAUCGUAUGCGAAGAUAAGGACGGUAUCCUAGGAGGAAGCCCCGGCUAAAUACCAGCCAGCAGCCGCGGUAAUAGGUAUGGGGCGAGCUCUGUCCGGAAUUAUUGGGAAUAAAGGGCAGGUAGGCGGUUAAUUAAGUCAGGAAAGAAAGCGGGUGGAUUAACCUCAUUAAGCACAUGAAUCAGGAAGACGUGAGGGAAGGAGAGGAAAAAGGAAUUCCUAGGGUAGCGAAGAAAUGGGUAGAUAGUAGGACGAAUACCGGUGGAGAAGGUGUCUUUUUGGAAUUUUACGGACGGUCAGGUAAGAAAGGGGGGGGAGCAAACAGGAUUAGAUACCUAGGUCGUCCACUCCGUAAACGAUGAAUGGUAGGUGNNGGGAGUCAAAUCUCGGUGCCGAAGUUAACACAUUAAGCAUUCCGCCUGGGGAGUACGGUGGCAACACUG